Anguilla anguilla (European eel) is the source of this 1967-nucleotide RNA transcript. It is a transcript of the gene named type-1 angiotensin II receptor-like, with no coding region annotated. NCBI's taxonomy places the organism in Eukaryota, Metazoa, Chordata, Actinopteri, Anguilliformes, Anguillidae. The transcript is spliced from 2 exons. The record is from RefSeq and is a predicted model, not a curated record.
ACUCUGGUGUCAAUAGAGAUACGAAAGAGGUUUAUUUGCACGUUCAAUAUCCAACAAUAGCAGUACGUUAAGAAACCGUUACUCCGAAACUGAACAGAACAAUGAAAAAAGUUGUCAUGGGUCGAGGUGUGGCGGACCCAAAUGCAGACUUGGACAACUGCGUAUCGAAACUCCCGAAGGAGAGAUUUAAUUCAAAGGUACACAAUACAGCAGGCAGUCUCGUAGUCAGUUCGUGCAAAGAUAAAAAAAACCAGAAAAAUCCACCGGGCUAAAAGUACAGAAUCGGAAGGCAAAACUCAGUCGUAAACAGGCGGGGGUCAUAACAGGAAAUCAGCAAAACAAAGUCGGCAGGCAAAAAUCGGUGGUCGGGUAAACAGGCAAGAUAAAAACACAAGACCCACUAACAAGAAGAAACCGCUGGAAAGGCACUAUAAACAGGAGGCACAACCUGGCAAGGAAGAACAGGGAAACAGAAAAUAUAUACCAAGGGAACCAGGGAGGCCAGUGUUCCUGGAGCUGUAUCACGGGAUCCUCGGGGUGGACUGAAGAGGUAUCUGCUGUUGAAAUACCUGCAGGUUUUGGUUCUUCCUCUGGGGAACGAGGUACUGUUGACUUUGGGGGCCCUGGCCAGCCUGUACACAGCCGUGCUCCUCCUGUGCUCCCCCCAUGUGUCCCGCAAGGCCUCCACCGUACUGCUGAGCCAGCUGCCCUGGGCAGAUGGCCUGGUGGUGGCAUGCUGGGGUCUUGGUGCACUAGGGUGGGCCGUGGAGGACCGUGGGGCCCUGGCCAAACUGGGGAGCGAGCUCUUGAGCGCCAACCAGCAUGCUAGCCUGCUGUUCCUCAGCUGCCUGAGCCUGGAGGCCCUGCUGGUGACCUGGAGGCCUGUGGAGUCCCGCAGGCUCCGGACGGUCCGUGGCGCCCGUCUGGCUUGCACCCUGGUGUGGACAGCAGUGAUGGUGGAGCUGCUGGUGCUGCAGGCCGCUGAACAUGCCCAGGACCUGUACCCUCAAGGACCUCUUCUGGGGCUGGUGCUGCGGGGGUGCCUGCUGAUAGCUCCCUUCCUCCGUGUGUUCUCUCACUGCCUGAGGGGGGCGCUGUGGCUGGGAAAUGCAUGGGUGUACUAUAUACUCUUUACCUACAGUCCUCAGCACAGGAAGAGUCACUUCCAUUAGCACCAUGUGAUGCUCGCCAGGAGCUAUGAGCUGCUGACAAACUUACAGAAGACAGCUUGGCUGCUGUUGGACUUGCUUCGUUUGUUUUUAUGUUGAUUUGAACUUUAUUGCAGUUUAUAUAUAGAGCUUUCUGUUCUUGGAAAUGUCCACAGCAGGGGGAAACAUUUCAAGGGUCAAAGAAAAUCACUGUGCUCAGAAAGACUGCUGGUAUUUAAAAUUAUAGACACUAAACUGAUAAACACAGUAUCAGUGAUUAUCAGGAUUUGUGCACUCAUUGUUCAUUGUUUAUAUGAUUAAUUUAUUAAUAAUAACUUUAAUGCUUUUUACCUGGUAAAAAAUGGGCAAUCAUUUGUGCUAGUAUGUGAAAUGUAUGUUUUGUCACUGCUGAAAAGAAUUAAAGGCAUACUGUGCAGGAUUUUUACCUUGAAAAUAUUAUAAAACAACCAUGCUAUGGCAUAUCUAUUAUGUGCUGGCAUUCUCUGUCUCUGGUCCCAGCUGGAAAUUUGUAAUGUCCGUUCCAAGUAAUCGAUGGGGGAAAUUUACCAGUAGUUUCUAAUGAAUUUCUGUGUGUCUGUGACUCAGGGGUGAGUGGACAGAGUUGAAGAUGAAGGAGGAGACUUCUUUGAUUGUAAACACAAGACCACAGCAAGGCAAAAAAAAAAUCUUGUAUUUGCCUUUAAUAAAAAAUGAAAAAUUAUACAAAAAUGAUUUAAAUGUUCCUCUUUCACUGCAGAAUUCAGGUGUUAGUGGAUUGUGGUAAAAAUAAAAAAAUAAUAAGCAUGCUGUUCAGCAAAG